AUGGAGACAGUCGUUGUUGCUGUUAUAUGUGGUUUAUAAUUUUACAUAUUAUAAUUAAAUAUUGUACAUACCAUGAGUAAUUAUGAAAUUAAAAUUAUUGUAACAUUUUUUACGCUUAUUAAAUGGAAAUAUGUUAUAUGUACAAACGUUUGCAGUCUACGCCCAGCUGUAAAUUUUAAUUUGAGUAAAGAGGGUUUUCAUAGGGAACUUGGUUUCUCUGUGAAGAUAAUAGUUGACCAACAUAGCAUUUUGAAUAAUUGCCAGGUGGUUUUUGAACAAACAAUUCCUUCAGGAUGUUUUGUUAAUCCUGAUGAACUAGCAGAUUUGAGACGAAUGAAAAAGGUGAUGGCGUGUCCUUCGGGGUUUGUCGACGUAGAAGCUCCGGAACAUGAAUCCGCACCUCACAAAGUCCACGUUCACGCUGACUUGCAGCGUGCGGGCAACACCCUCACGGCUGCUGCCAAACUCCCUGUUCACCUGCGCUACCACGAGGCUACGGUCGGUGGCAGUGCGGCCACGGCUGUCUUAGGACCACCUGCGCUAUUGCUGAGGUGCAACUCCAGUGCAGAGUGCAGCCAAACCAGCAAGGCACCUUGUGGGCCGUGCCACCGGGAGAUGUGUGAUUGGAUCAGUGUUCCUUACCAAAGUAUCCCACUAUUUUCAGGAGCAUAUGCAGAAUUUCAUUUUGGAGAGGACUAUAACCAUUUUGCACACUGUUUGCUGCUGUUGGUGAGAAGAUACACAUCUUUACAGAUAUUAGGUUACCAAAAACAUCUUGAUAUCAGUUCCUGUUGGCAAUCUGAACCAUGCCAAUUUUGUAACUGUGACAACACUGUUCGUUACCAUUGCAAGUGCAGUGUGGGUAUGUAAGGCUGUUAUUGGUGCUACCACAGAACUGUCAUCACGAAAGAAGAAAUAAUGUAGAAGUAUUGGAAGUUUGUAUGUAACUUAAACAAAUUGGUUGUCUGUAAAGUCUGUUUACAGAUGAUAGUUUAACGUGAUCUCAUAACAAAACAUUGAUGAAAUGAUUGUAUACUUUAAUGAAUAAAAUUAAAUCAUGUUUAUUGAAUUAUCAUUAUUUUGUAUGGAUACAAAGAAGGAGUGAAAUGAAAUCUACAAUUUAAUUGAUAAAUUUACUUUUAUUUGCACUCAUUAAUUCAAAUACCGUAUUUACUCGCAUAUAAGUCGCCAUCGCAGAUAGGUCGCACCCAUAAUUUGAGGUCUUGAAUUUGGUAUUUAAGAUUCCCCCCAUAUAGGUCGCACCGGUAAUUCAUUACUGCGCCGUGCGCCGUGCGUGGAGAAAGGUCAUUGUACUCGAUCAGCUGCUGUUACGGCGCGCCUGCUGACUCUCUUUGUUCACUGAGCUGCGCAUGCGCAGUAUAACUCACUCAACACUCCGCCCAGACUCGUGACCUUGCAUCAGCAGCCAGCCAAUAGAUGAGAGCUUAGCAGAAAAAAAUAUAAGCUCCACCUCCCAUGUACCAAUUUUGUCCAGUUCUAAUACCUGUUUAUUGGUAUACGCACCAGUUUUCUCACUGCCGUGACAUGUUCAAGUUUACGUCCAUCUUGAUGUCUUGAUACCAAUAAUUAAUUAAUUACGAUCACCAGAAAUAAAUUGUUAGUUUAAAAAAUAUGCGUCAACUGUACAAUACUUCCGAAAUUAUAAAAUACGUACAAAACAGUUACCAAGACUCCGCUCAUUUUAUCUUGUGAAAUUUGUCUCGUACCAGUAUUCCGGCUAAGUUGUGACAUAAAUACAGUAUCAGAAAUUAACAAUCAGCCACGUUCAUACAUUCGUGUGUUUACCUUUUUCCCUCGUGCAUUUUAGAUUGUCUCCUGCUAUAAUUACUCAGACUUUUACACGCCUAGGCUGAAAUUAUUACAUGUUUAGAAAUAAAAGCAACUUUUCAUGUUAUAAAAUAUGUAUAUUUUGCGAUUUAAAAUGUUCAUUGCCGACUAUAAACGUUACGUUUUUCACGAUGUUUUUAGGCCUACUAGCUAAUCUUAUAUACUCUAAAAGUACCCACGGUAUUUUCUGGUUGUUUAUGGUUGGUACGUGACGUAAAUAGCGGGAUGGAUUCGAUUUUUGAGUCGUAAUUUGCAUGAAAGUGUUGUAUUGGACUAAAUGGGAACUAAACAGGACCUGAAGAAUAUAGUGCAAAUAACGGGAAAACGUAAAUAACGGUAACGUAAAUAAGGGGUUUCGCUGUAUGUGUACAUUGUAAAUAAAUUUGCCUAUACCUAUAUAAACUUCUUUUUCGCAUUUUAAAGCAAAAUAUUGCAAAAAAAAUUCCUAAAAAAUUUUUCUUCACAUAUAGGUCGCACUUCAUUUUUUCCCCAUCAAAUCUGGUAAAAUUGCCGCGACCUAUAUGCGAGUAAAUACGGUAUGUUUAUUACUUUAACAAAGAGAUUAUUUUAACUAUAACUUUUAUACAUGUUUGCUAUUUAACUUCUUCCAAUCUGUGUUAUUCUGUUAAGGAUAGGACAAUGAUAGGAAAAGUAGGAAACAAAUGGGAAUGUUUCAAGUAUAAUGUGCCUCGAAAAAUUCAAAUCGAUGGUUGUUCCAAUCGAGUGGAAGAGAGAUAGAUGCGGCGCAAGCAUACAAUGAGCGUAACGGGACACAGCCUAACGGGACAAUGUGCGUUACGGGACACUUUUUCGUGCGUGCAGCCGGCGUUUAUCGAUUUAUUAGACGUCACGUCAAAAAUAAUCUCCAUGUACCUGAAGACUUUUUUUUUUUAAAUUGAGGAUGUGUCAGAAUGCAGUCCCUAGUUCAAAGAAUUCACUGUAGGAGCUCCAGAGCAGGUAGAGAGGUGGAACAGGUGCCGUUCGGUCGGAGUAACUACACUGUUUUCAGUAGUCACCAUGCGGUGGACAGUUCAGCAACAGGGCUUUGUUUUGGAGACCUUUUUUAAAAACAGGGAAAGUUUUUUGGCGACGCAGGGGUUUUCACAGACAACUCAAUUUCAAUCAUAUUGACAGUGUUCCUGACCCUAAAACCAUCGGAAAUGGAUCAGUAAUAUAAAGGAUGAUGGA
Molecule: long non-coding RNA, 3036 nt
Organism: Bacillus rossius redtenbacheri
Lineage: Eukaryota; Metazoa; Arthropoda; Insecta; Phasmatodea; Bacillidae
Exons: 5
Source: RefSeq, a predicted model, not a curated record